UACGAAGGGUCCAAGCGUUGUUCGGAAUUACUGGGCGUAAAGCGUGCGUAGGCGGGUCGGAAAGUCGAUUGUGAAAUCCCUGGGCUUAACCUAGGAACUGCAGUCGAAACUCCCGAUCUUGAAUGUCUGAGAGGAUGGCGGAAUUCCCGGUGUAGUAGUGAAAUACGUAGAUAUCGGGAAGAACACCUGAGGCGAAGGCGGCUAUCUGGCGGUACAUUGACGCUGAUGCACGAAAGCGUGGGGAGCAAACAGG
This 253-nucleotide ribosomal RNA is filed under the name uncultured prokaryote. RNAcentral describes it as "partial 16S ribosomal RNA". It matches the Rfam family "Bacterial small subunit ribosomal RNA", at positions 524 to 776 of the family's 1533-position model. The record is from RNAcentral.